UGGGGAAUAUUGCGCAAUGGGCGAAAGCCUGACGCAGCAACGCCGCGUGAGGGAUGAAGGCCUUCGGGUUGUAAACCUCUUUCAGCAGGGAAGAAGCGAAAGUGACGGUACCUGCAGAAGAAGCACCGGCUAACUACGUGCCAGCAGCCGCGGGAAUACGUAGGGUGCAAGCGUUGUCCGGAUUUAUUGGGCGUAAAGAGCUCGUAGGCGGUUAGUCACGUCGGAUGUGAAAAUCCAAGGCUUAACCUU
This 249-nucleotide ribosomal RNA is filed under the name uncultured Actinomycetales bacterium. RNAcentral describes it as "partial 16S ribosomal RNA". It matches the Rfam family "Bacterial small subunit ribosomal RNA", at positions 355 to 616 of the family's 1533-position model. Lineage: Bacteria; Bacillati; Actinomycetota; Actinomycetes; Actinomycetales. The record is from RNAcentral.